This 501-nucleotide ribosomal RNA is filed under the name uncultured bacterium. RNAcentral's name for it is "bacterial SSU rRNA". It matches the Rfam family "Bacterial small subunit ribosomal RNA", at positions 791 to 1289 of the family's 1533-position model. The record is from RNAcentral.
UAGUCCACGCCGUAAACGAUGAGCACUAGCUAUUGGAGGUAUUAACUCCUUCAGUGGCGCAGCUAACGCAUUAAGUGCUCCGCCUGGGGAGUACGGCCGCAAGGCUAAAACUCAAAGGAAUUGACGGGGGCCCGCACAAGCGGUGGAUUAUGUGGUUUAAUUCGAAGCAACGCGCAGAACCUUACCUAGGCUUGAAAUCCUCGGAAUUUGAUGUAAUUGUCGAAGUGCCCGCAAGGGAAUCGAGUGACAGGUGCUGCAUGGCUGUCGUCAGCUCGUGUUGUGAAAUGUUGGGUUAAGUCUCGCAACGAGCGCAACCCCUGUCUUUAGUUGCCAGCAUUAAGUUGGGCACUCUAGAGAGACUGCCUGGGUUAACCAGGAGGAAGGUGGGGAUGACGUCAAGUCCUCAUGGCCCUUAUGCCUAGGGCUACACACGUAAUACAAUGGUGCGCACAAAGGGAAGCGAACUCGCAAGGGGGAGCCGAAUCUCAAAAAGCGCAUCUC